AUACGGAGGAUGCGAGCGUUAUCCGGAUUCAUUGGGUUUAAAGGGUGCGUAGGCGGACUUAUAAGUCAGUGGUGAAAACCUGCAGCUUAACUGUAGACGUGCCAUUGAUACUGUUAGUCUUGAGUAUGGUCAAGGUAGGCGGAAUGUGUAAUGUAGCGGUGAAAUGCUUAGAUAUUACACAGGACACCGAUUGCGAAGGCAGCUUACUGGGCCAUUACUGACGCUGAUGCACGAAAGCGUGGGGAGCGAACAGGAUUAGAUACCCUGGUAGUCCACGCCGUAAACGAUGAUCACUCGCUGUUAGCGAUACACAGUUAGCGGCUAAGCAAAAGCAUUAAGUGAUCCACCUGGGGAGUACGGCCGCAAGGCUGAAACUCAAAUGAAUUGACGGGG
This 393-nucleotide ribosomal RNA is filed under the name uncultured bacterium. Its description in RNAcentral is "partial 16S ribosomal RNA". It matches the Rfam family "Bacterial small subunit ribosomal RNA", at positions 523 to 918 of the family's 1533-position model. The record is from RNAcentral.